This 518-nucleotide ribosomal RNA is filed under the name uncultured bacterium. RNAcentral describes it as "bacterial SSU rRNA". It matches the Rfam family "Bacterial small subunit ribosomal RNA", at positions 791 to 1306 of the family's 1533-position model. The record is from RNAcentral.
UAGUCCACACCGUAAACGCUGUCUACUAGCUGUUUGUGACUUUAAGUCGUGAGUAGCGAAGCUAACGCGCUAAGUAGACCGCCUGGGGAGUACGGCCGCAAGGUUAAAACUCAAAUGAAUUGACGGGGGCCCGCACAAGCGGUGGAGCAUGUGGUUUAAUUCGACGCAACGCGCAGAACCGUACCUGGGUUAAAUCCACCAGAACUUACCAGAGAUGGUUUGGUGCCCUUCGGGGAAUUGGUGAGAAGGUGCUGCAUGGCUGUCGUCAGCUCGUGUCGUGAGAUGUUGGGUUAAGUCCCAUAACGAGCGCAACCCCUAUCUUUAGUUGCCAGCGAGUAAUGUCGGGGACUCUAGAGAAACUGCCUACGUAAGUAGAGAGGAAGGCGGGGAUGACGUCAAAUCAUCACGGCCCUUACGUCCAGGGGCUACACACGUGCUACAAUGGCGAGAACAACGGGGAAGCUACCUGGUGACAGGAUGCGGAUCUCAAAAUCUCGUCUCAGUUCGGAUCGGAGUCU